GGGCCGUUAGCUCAGGGGAAGAGCACCUGACUUUUAAUCAGGGUGUCGCGGGUUCGAAUCCCGCACGGCUCACCA
RNAcentral lists this transfer RNA (75 nucleotides) under Dehalococcoidia bacterium. RNAcentral describes it as "tRNA-Lys". It matches the Rfam family "tRNA". From Rfam's summary of the family: Transfer RNA (tRNA) molecules are approximately 80 nucleotides in length. The record is from RNAcentral. Lineage: Bacteria; Bacillati; Chloroflexota; Dehalococcoidia.